UGUCCUUAGUACGAGAGGACCGGGAUGGACGGACCGCUGGUGCAUCUGUUAGACUGCCAAGUCUAUAGCAGAGUAGCCAAGUCUGGAUUUGAUAAACGCUGAAGGCAUCUAAGCGUGAAACAGACCUUAAGAUAAGAUUUCCCAUCUGAAAAGAGUAAGACCCCUUGUAGACUACAAGGUUGAUAGGUUGGAGGUGUAAGUGUGGUAACACAUGAAGCUGACCAAUACUAAUGGUUCGAGGGUUUGACCUAU
Molecule: ribosomal RNA, 252 nt
Filed under: Candidatus Parepulonipiscium sp. PG-Nele67M_MBin01
Lineage: Bacteria; Bacillati; Bacillota; Clostridia; Lachnospirales; Lachnospiraceae
Description: Epulopiscium sp. Nele67-Bin001 partial 23S ribosomal RNA
Rfam family: Bacterial large subunit ribosomal RNA
Source: RNAcentral